RNAcentral lists this ribosomal RNA (486 nucleotides) under uncultured bacterium. RNAcentral describes it as "bacterial SSU rRNA". It matches the Rfam family "Bacterial small subunit ribosomal RNA", at positions 28 to 505 of the family's 1533-position model. The record is from RNAcentral.
GAUGAACGCUAGCUACAGGCUUAACACAUGCAAGUCGAGGGGCAUCAGGGAUUUAGCUUGCUAAAUUCGCUGGCGACCGGCGCACGGGUGCGUAACGCGUAUCCAACUUUCCCGUUACUCUCGGAUAGCCUUCCGAAAGGGAGAUUAAUACGAGAUGGUGUUUUAAUUUCGCAUGUUAUUAAAACUAAAGAUUCAUCGGUAACGGAUAGGGAUGCGUGACAUUAGAUAGUUGGCGGGGUAACGGCCCACCAAGUCCACGAUGUCUAGGGGUUCUGAGAGGAAGGUCCCCCACACUGGAACUGAGACACGGUCCAGACUCCUACGGGAGGCAGCAGUGAGGAAUAUUGGUCAAUGGUCUGACGACUGAACCAGCCAUGCCGCGUGAAGGUCACGGCCUAUGGUACUUAAACUUCUUUGCAAGGGAGCAAUAAGUCUCACGUGGUGGGAUGAUGAGAGUACCUGACGAAUAAGCAUCGGCUAACUCGU